This 250-nucleotide ribosomal RNA is filed under the name uncultured bacterium. RNAcentral's name for it is "partial 16S ribosomal RNA". It matches the Rfam family "Bacterial small subunit ribosomal RNA", at positions 524 to 773 of the family's 1533-position model. The record is from RNAcentral.
UACGGGGGGGGCAAGCGUUGUUCGGAAUUACUGGGCGUAAAGGGCUCGUAGGCGGCCAACUAAGUCAUACGUGAAAUCCCUCGGCUCAACCGGGGAACUGCGUCUGAUACUGGAUGGCUUGAGUUCGGGAGAGGGAUGCGGAAUUCCAGGUGUAGCGGUGAAAUGCGUAGAUAUCUGGAGGAACACCGGUGGCGAAGGCGGCAUCCUGGACCGAUACUGACGCUGAGGAGCGAAAGCCAGGGGAGCAAAC